This 331-nucleotide ribosomal RNA is filed under the name Vibrio parahaemolyticus. RNAcentral describes it as "bacterial SSU rRNA". It matches the Rfam family "Bacterial small subunit ribosomal RNA", at positions 1 to 318 of the family's 1533-position model. Lineage: Bacteria; Pseudomonadati; Pseudomonadota; Gammaproteobacteria; Vibrionales; Vibrionaceae. The record is from RNAcentral.
AAAUUGAAGAGUUUGAUCAUGGCUCAGAUUGAACGCUGGCGGCAGGCCUAACACAUGCAAGUCGAGCGGAAACGAGUUAUCAGAACCUUCGGGGGACGAUAACGGCGUCGAGCGGCGGACGGGUGAGUAAUGCCUAGGAAAUUGCCCUGAUGUGGGGGAUAACCAUUGGAAACGAUGGCUAAUACCGCAUGAUGCCUACGGGCCAAAGAGGGGGACCUUCGGGCCUCUCGCGUCAGGAUAUGCCUAGGUGGGAUUAGCUAGUUGGUGAGGUAAGGGCUCACCAAGGCGACGAUCCCUAGCUGGUCUGAGAGGAUGAUCAGCCACACUGGAA